This 253-nucleotide ribosomal RNA is filed under the name uncultured bacterium. RNAcentral describes it as "partial 16S ribosomal RNA". It matches the Rfam family "Bacterial small subunit ribosomal RNA", at positions 524 to 776 of the family's 1533-position model. The record is from RNAcentral.
UACGGAGGGUGCGAGCGUUGUCCGGAAUUACUGGGCUUAAAGGGUGCGUAGGCGGCGCUGCAAGUCUGGCGUGAAAGUUUGCGGCUCAACCGUAAAAUUGCUUUUGAUACUGCUGUGCUAGAAUUAGGAUGAGGUCAGCGGAAUGUGGCAUGUAGCGGUGAAAUGCAUAGAUAUGCCAUAGAACACCAAUUGCGAAGGCAGCUGGCUAGACCUAUAUUGACGCUGAGGCACGAAAGCGUGGGGAGCGAACAGG